UGAUAUUCACGGCAAGGAGAACGAUCAGCUAGUCUCGUAUGUUCCUGGAAGCGUGUAUGUUUUCAUGUAAUUAAUCCUAUGUACGUUUUCUAACUCAAAGUAAGACAAAUAUAUCGUGGUAGUCAUUGCGGUUAACAAUUUGAACCUAUGACAAUGUAAUAUUUCCAAUAUAAAAUCAGCAUUUAUUAGACGCAAUCGAAUCAUAGAGAUGUACUUUUAACCAUCUAAUCUGCUUAAGUUCAAACAAGUAUUAAAGGCAGACGUACAUAAGACAAUAGGAUGGAUUGCGCAAACUUUAACGGCCUAUCAAUAAUAUUAUGAAUGAUUUAUGAAGACACAGCACUGUCCAGUUAGUGAAUGAGUGUGUUUAAGAGUGGCGCAAACUUUAUAAGAUCUGUUAAACAGAAUGUGGAAAGAUAUAGUCCUUACAGUACUAUUGCUUGGCAUGGUUCAAGUUUUAGCGGAACACAGAAAACGUCAGUCCCAUCCCACGUCAUUUAAAAGUUUAUUAGGUUGGAGAGAUAUUGCAGCUGAUGUGGAUAAUUAUGGCGAUAAAAGUUAUUCUUACACACCUCCAGUUUCUAGUCCGCGCAAAUAUGGAAAUUAUUUUUGGGGUCUUCGGUGGGUAAACAACCCGGAACUGCUUGGUGGGUUGCAAAUUCGAAAACGUGUGUUACACAGCAACACUUUACGUGAUUACAAAAAAAUGUCUAAAGACCUGAUUUCCUAUCCAUUUUAUGAGAUGAGUAAGAGGCAAGACUAUAGUUGUGAUACAACCCGCAUUACUAUACAAACAAUAAUAGAGUAUCUUCGAACUGGUAGAAUUUGUGGUUUCAGAGUGUCAACCAUGCGCUUUGGACUCGGUCGACGACGAUAAGAAAAAGGAUGGAAACUAACACGAGCUUCUUUUAUUUUAGUUUCCUUCAUGUCAUUCUAGAAUAGUGAAAACACGCGGGAAGAUUCUGGGAUUUUCUGGAAUAUGAAUGUAGUACCAGAGAAAAUGAAACGUCUAGGACUUUAUUUAAAGACGUAGGCUCGGGAAAAAUCUUUUUUCGUGGGGGAACUUGGGUCUGAGACCUUUUUUUGAAGAAGUGUGCUCGGGGAAUUGUUUUUUCGAGACUGCAAAGGAAUGUAAUAUUUCUAUAAGCUUUUAAUUUUGCUUCAGGAUUUGUUUACGCCUACAGUUGUUUACGUGUGAGAUGAAAGAAAACUGUAGUGUUCGCUUUCGGGUACCGCGAGCAUAUUCAUUAUCGUAUAUGUGGUCGUUAAUAAUGUAGGGGUGGAAAAGCGGAAGCACAAUGAAUGGAUAAAGAAAGCUGAUAUGUUUCUUUGAAUAUACAUAAUUUAUCGUGCUGUUUUAUUAUUUUCCUUCCCUAUUUGAUACCAGUCUGAACAUACCCUUUAUCUUUAAUUGUUCGUUCGUAACGUAUCUGACGUCAUUAUGUGUAUCACUUAUGGAUGAAUUGUAAUUGAAUGUAGUUAAAACUCGCUUUCAUUAAAGGCUUCAAAGAACGAAUAUAAAUUUGAAUUACCCACGUUCUGCUAUUUAUAGCUGUCCAUUGAUCCGAUCUAUUAUUGUGGAAAAGAUAUUUGAUAUAAUUCAAUAUAAUCUCUAUUACCAUCAAAUCAGAUGCUUAUUAAAGCCUUUAGUGAUUACAUAGCCUGUUUAUUUUUCUUGAUGAGUUUAUAUGUAGAACUUUUGACAGUCUUAUCAAAUUGGAUUUGCUCUAAGUCACUAAUCCACAUAAUAUAGUUGUAUAUGAUUGGUUAAAUUGUAUUAUGAUUAUUUACCAAAUAUAUAUUCACCAUGAUAAUAGAUAAUAAAAUCGGUUAUAACUUA
Molecule: long non-coding RNA, 1840 nt
Organism: Patella vulgata (common limpet)
Lineage: Eukaryota; Metazoa; Mollusca; Gastropoda; Patellidae
Exons: 3
Source: RefSeq, a predicted model, not a curated record